CCGCGGUAUACUAACCGUGCGAAGGUAGCGUAAUCACUUGUUCUUUAAAUGAGGACUAGUAUGAAUGGCAUCACGAGGGUUAUUCUGUCUCCCCUUUUUAAUCAGUGAAACUAAUCUUCCCGUGAAGAAGCGGGAAUAAAACUAUAAGACGAGAAGACCCUAUGGAGCUUUAGACUACUUAACAAAUGCUAUUUACUUUCAUAUCCUCUGGGAACUUAACUAUAUUUUAUCAUACUGAUUAAUAGUCUUAGGUUGGGGUGACCGCGGAGUAUAAUACAACCUCCAUGAUGAAAGAAACUUAAUUUCUUAAUUCAGAGUAACAACUCUAAAUACCAAAAACUUGACAUAGCUUGAUCCAGUUUACUGAUCAACGAACCAAGUUACCCUAGGGAUAACAGCGCAAUCUACUUCAAGAGUCCCUAUCGACAAGUAGGUUUACGACCUCGAUGUUGGAUCAGGGUAUCCUAGUGGUGCAGCCGCUACUAAAGGUUCGUUUGUUCAACGAACCCUA
This 511-nucleotide ribosomal RNA is filed under the name Physalaemus fischeri (Heatwole's dwarf frog). RNAcentral's name for it is "partial 16S ribosomal RNA". It matches the Rfam family "Bacterial large subunit ribosomal RNA", at positions 1931 to 2598 of the family's 2925-position model. The record is from RNAcentral. Lineage: Eukaryota; Metazoa; Chordata; Amphibia; Anura; Leptodactylidae.